GCUACUGUAGCUCAGUCGGUAUGAGCGCGUCAUUGGUAAUGACGAGGUCACCAGUUCGAUUCUGGCCAGUAGCU
This 74-nucleotide transfer RNA is filed under the name Lachnospiraceae bacterium. RNAcentral's name for it is "tRNA-Thr". It matches the Rfam family "tRNA". From Rfam's summary of the family: Transfer RNA (tRNA) molecules are approximately 80 nucleotides in length. Their secondary structure includes four short double-helical elements and three loops (D, anti-codon, and T loops). Lineage: Bacteria; Bacillati; Bacillota; Clostridia; Lachnospirales; Lachnospiraceae. The record is from RNAcentral. RNAcentral also lists the same sequence under 1 other name.